UACGAAGGGGGCUAGCGUUGCUCGGAAUUACUGGGCGUAAAGCGCACGUAGGCGGCUUUCUAAGUCGGGGGUGAAAUCCUGGAGCUCAACUCCAGAACUGCCUUCGAUACUGGAGAGCUCGAGUCCGGGAGAGGUGAGUGGAACUGCGAGUGUAGAGGUGAAAUUCGUAGAUAUUCGCAAGAACACCAGUGGCGAAGGCGGGCUACUGGGCCGAUACUGACGCUGAUGCGCGAAAGCCAGGGGAGCGAACGGG
This 253-nucleotide ribosomal RNA is filed under the name uncultured bacterium. RNAcentral describes it as "partial 16S ribosomal RNA". It matches the Rfam family "Bacterial small subunit ribosomal RNA", at positions 524 to 776 of the family's 1533-position model. The record is from RNAcentral.